Molecule: ribosomal RNA, 344 nt
Filed under: uncultured eukaryote
Lineage: Eukaryota
Description: partial 18S ribosomal RNA
Rfam family: Eukaryotic small subunit ribosomal RNA
Source: RNAcentral
CCCUUAGAUGUUCUGGGCCGCACGCGCGCUACACUGAUGCAUUCAACGAGCCUAUCCUUGACCGACAGGUCCGGGUAAUCUUUGAAUCUGCAUCGUGACGGGGAUAGAUUAUUGCAAUUAUUAAUCUUCAACGAGGAAUGCCUAGUAGGCGCGAGUCAUCAGCUCGCGUCGAUUACGUCCCUGCCCUUUGUACACACCGCCCGUCGCUACUACCGAUCGAACGAUUUUGCGAGGUAUCUGGACUGGCAUCUGCCUGGAAGGCCGUUCUUCGGGAUGGUUCGAAGGGUGUGCUUGCCGGGAAAGGGCCCAAGCAUGGUCGUUUAGAGGAAGUAAAAGUCGUAACA